RNAcentral lists this long non-coding RNA (1127 nucleotides) under Pan troglodytes (chimpanzee). RNAcentral's name for it is "long non-coding RNA NONPTRT016990". The record is from RNAcentral. Lineage: Eukaryota; Metazoa; Chordata; Mammalia; Primates; Hominidae.
UUGGGUCUGGGAGGAAGGAGGUCAUUUGCUGCUUUACCUGUGCCGAGCCCAAGCAGAGAGGGGCGAGAUGGACAUGUGCCUUUUCCUGGAUCCUUUGCCACUUGGCAGCCUGCAGGCAGCUGUGCAAAACAGCAAGGAGCUUUCUUGUUUGGUGCCAGUGUCAGAGAGCUUGGAAUUCUGUUUUCAUUUUCCCUUUUUUUCUCAUUUCUUCCUUCCCACCCUCAAGUGCUCUGUUUUGCUCACUUCUCCCUCUACUCUCCCUUAUCUCCAUGACACCUUUCUGAGCCUCACCUUUCAAGUUAGGGACUCUUCUGAUGCCUGUCCCCCCAUCCCCACCCUCUCCAAUUCCCCCAUCCCCACCCUCCCCAAACCCCCCAUCCCCACCCCUACAUUUCACCCAGAGAUCAAAAAGCAAAACUUCCCACUCUGACGGGGGUUUGCACCCAGGUAGAAGAUUGAAUCCUCCUGUGCAAAUGGGAAGAGGUGGGUAACGAGAUUAAGUCAUCUCCCUCACUCAAGGAUAUGUGCCACUGACCCUUUGCUCUGAGGCACCACGAACCUGAGUAUCUGGGGCCUUCACAAACGCCCAGGUGGGUGGGCCACUGCCUACAGGUAAUUGAAGGGGAAUGAGGGAACUGGGCCAGCAUCCCUGCUGGGACCAGCAGUGAGUCAGACCCCUUCCCCACACUCCAGACCUACCAAAUCCAGCCAAAGAGCCUUUACCUCAGGGGUUCCCCAGGUGAGGGAGGAGUGUCGCUGGACCCUCAAGUCUAUGAAAGACCUCAGAAAAUGCAGCUCUCUGUCCCUACGGGGACACCCAAAGGAUAGAGGUUGUUAAGUAGGGACGGCUCAAGUUGCAAGGGCUGGGCACUGGGCCAGGGCGCCCACGGACUUUGACUAUACCCACUGUGUGCAGAGCGUCUCAUAGGUCACAAAGAUGGGUAGAUCUCUGCCCUUCCUCUGAAUGGGAUGUUGUGAGAUCAACCAGUUGGAUGGUUGCCUGGAGAAUAAAGCUGAAAGCCUGUUACAAAUGCAAGGCAAUAGCGGUGGGGAUAGACCCCUGGCUUCCAGCACCGCGCUCUUUACCUGACCCAGACGGGACAAGUCUGGGAAGACAGUCUGCAUCA